UUGUGAACGCGAAGAACCUUACCCAGGUCUUGACAUCCUCUGACAACUCUAGAGAUAGAGCUUUCCCCUUCGGGGGACAGAGUGACAGGUGGUGCAUGGUUGUCGUCAGCUCGUGUCGUGAGAUGUUGGGUUAAGUCCCCGCAACGAGCGCAACCCUUGAUCUUAGUUGCCAGCAUUUAGUUGGGCACUCUAAGGUGACUGCCGGUGACAAACCGGAGGAAGGUGGGGAUGACGUCAAAUCAUCAUGCCCCUUAUGACCUGGGCUACACACGUGCUACAAUGGAUGGUACAAAGGGGCUGCAAGACCGCGAGGUCAAGCCAAUCCCAUAAAACCAUUCUCAGUUCGGAUUGUAGGCUGCAACUCGCCUACAUGAAGCUGGAAUCGCUAGUAAUCGCGGAUCAGCAUGCCGCGGUGGAUACGUUUCCGGGUCUUGUACACACGCACAA
This 447-nucleotide ribosomal RNA is filed under the name bacterium CPTAC101. RNAcentral describes it as "bacterial SSU rRNA". It matches the Rfam family "Bacterial small subunit ribosomal RNA", at positions 951 to 1397 of the family's 1533-position model. The record is from RNAcentral. RNAcentral also lists the same sequence under 1 other name.